GGAUCUGAGGCUUCCUCCUUCUCCUCCACCACCACCGGCACCUCCUCUCUCUCUCUCUCUCUCUCUCUCGAUCUAAGAGAUGUGGUGGUGGUUAGGGUUUCGACGAGGUGUCGGGGUUCAGCUCUCGUGCGUGUUGCAAAUGUGUUCUCUGGUUGUUACAGUAUGUUUUCAUAUGAUGUUGCAGCAGGUUAGGGUUUCGGUGAGCUCUCGGCUUGAGAUUUCGCAGUUUGUUGCAAUAGUUCUUUUUAGAUGUUGCAGUAGGUUUUAGUCAUUAUUGCAAUACUGCUUUUGAUUUGUUGUUUCAAUUACUUUAAUAUGCAUGUUGUUGUAGUUGUUGCGUAUAUGUUGCAAUUUUUGUUUGGGUGUUGUUGCAGUAGUAUGUUCAUUGUGUUUCAGCAACCGUAGCCAAAUGUUCCAGCUGUUUUUUCUUUGUUUGUUGUAAUAAUAUAUUCAAGAUAUUUUAACUUCAUCAUUCUAAUGUUGGAGCUGUCGUCCUUUUUUGAUGUUGUAUUUCUAUAUGUUUAUGAUGUUUUCAACUACUGCAAUCUAUUGUUGCAGUAGUUUAUCGGGCGUUAUUGCAAUAUCACGUUUAUGGUGUUUCAGUUACUUCACCUUAUUGUUGUAGCGGCAAAUGGAAGGGGAGGUUGCAAGUUGGAGGAUGAGCUGGCAAUGGGCAGAGGUGCUAGGGGGCCGAAGAGGUUUGGGUCGGGCUCCUUGCGUUCUUUGUGCGGGGCGAGUAGGGGUGGGUUCACAUCUCUACUUUUCUUUUUUAUUUUUUUGUAGGGGGGCGGGAGGAGAUGAGUACGGAGACCUGGCGUCCGCAUGUUAGCGCCCGGAUCGGACGUCCGGGCGCUAGCAGUUCCGAUGCAUCCCUAAAUAAUGUAAUGACUAGUAAAUCUAAAUAUUCUUUAGAAACCAUUAAUUUUAUAUAAAUUAUACAAUAAAUACAGAAAACAGAAAAAUAUUGCCGUGUUCCAAACAGAAUUUGUUUACGGUACAUUCUAGUAUUUCAAUUAAAAUUAGAAUUGCACACAACUAAUGUAGUACUAGUACUAGUAGAAGUUAAAAUAGUAUAAAAAUUAUAUUAGCAAAAUAGCGUAAGUAUUAUUUAAUUGGUGGAAGGGAAUGGGAGAGACUAGUGGCGGAUCUAGAAACAGGCUGCGGUUGGGCUAACUAAUAUAAGGCUAGAAAAAUAGCAGCCAAAUAGUUUUUUACAUGACAAAAAAUAGGUACAAAUUGUGGCUAGAAAAAUACCACUUGAAGAGCAUUUUACAUGACAAAAAAACCAUAUAUGUCUUGAACCAACAUCCUCG
RNAcentral lists this long non-coding RNA (1313 nucleotides) under Sorghum bicolor (sorghum). RNAcentral describes it as "long non-coding RNA (SBIC_LNC004229)". The record is from RNAcentral. Lineage: Eukaryota; Viridiplantae; Streptophyta; Magnoliopsida; Poales; Poaceae.